This 622-nucleotide ribosomal RNA is filed under the name uncultured bacterium. RNAcentral describes it as "bacterial SSU rRNA". It matches the Rfam family "Bacterial small subunit ribosomal RNA", at positions 202 to 842 of the family's 1533-position model. The record is from RNAcentral.
AAAAACUCCGGUGGUACGGGAUGGGCCCGCGUCUGAUUAGCUUGUUGGCGGGGUAGAAGCCCACCAAGGCGACGAUCAGUAGCCGACCUGAGAGGGUGACCGGCCACAUUGGGACUGAGACACGGCCCAAACUCCUACGGGAGGCAGCAGUGGGGAAUAUUGCACAAUGGGGGAAACCCUGAUGCAGCGACGCCGCGUGAGUGAGGAAGUAUUUCGGUAUGUAAAGCUCUAUCAGCAGGGAAGAAAAAAUGACGGUACCUGACUAAGAAGCACCGGCUAAAUACGUGCCAGCAGCCGCGGUAAUACGUAUGGUGCAAGCGUUAUCCGGAUUUACUGGGUGUAAAGGGAGCGCAGGCGGUACGGCAAGUCUGAUGUGAAAGCCCGGGGCUCAACCCCGGUACUGCAUUGGAAACUACCGGACUGGAGUGUCGGAGGGGUAAGUGGAAUUCCUAGUGUAGCGGUGAAAUGCGUAGAUAUUAGGAGGAACACCAGUGGCGAAGGCGGCUUACUGGACGAUCACUGACGCUGAGGCUCGAAAGCGUGGGGAGCAAACAGGAUUAGAUACCCUGGUAGUCCACGCCGUAAACGAUGAGUACCAGGUGUCGGGUGGCAUGGCCAUUCG